GAAGAAGAAGAGGCGUUGCAUUCAGAGAGAAGAGAGAUACUGAAGAAAGAGAGAGGCGGAGAACGAGAAAGCAGAAGAGAGGAGGGAAUAGUAAAGAAUUCAGGAAUAGCCUUUUUUUUUUUUGGUCUACGUAAACGUUAGGUUUUCCGUAGAUCAAGGAAAAGUCAACCGCUUUUACGUUGCAACAACACGAGGACAGAGAGAGGAGAGACGGCACGGAAGAGCUUCUCUUUGUACUUCAAAUAAGUGGAGACGCUACUGCUGGUUUGUAGGCUCUCCUAUACCUUUAUACGCUCUAUUCUAAUACCGUAAAUGAACAAUUAUAUAGGCUUUUUAUUUUAAUCUAUAUAUUUUUUUUAAAGUCAAUUUGAUUUGGAAACCACGAAGUGAACCUAAUGCCGUGUUCUUUUUUUGCAAGAAGGGAACAAUAGCAGUAAUCUAGCUGAAUUGUCUAGCUACUCUUUAUGAGAAUCACGGCUGUUUAGCGACCAACAAUACAAAACAAGGCGUCUGAAAUUCGCUCUACCACCACAACUUCCAGGAUCUUCUCCAUCGGACCGACCAUGGCUGCGGUUACCAGCCCAGAGACGAGCCCUCAACCCCGGGUAUAUUUCCAGACGGUAGCCUCCGGUUCAACCGAAGAACCGGAGAUACCUGUUCGGAAACAAGGGCGAGUAACCGUCAAAUAUGACCGGAAAGAACUAAGGAAGAGACUAAAUCUGGAGGAAUGGAUAAUCGACCAGCUAACGGCUCUUUACAACUGUGAGGAGGAGGCUAUACCAGAGUUGGAGAUAGAUGUGGAUGAGCUGCUGGACAUGCCUAGUGAUGAUGACAGAGGAGCCAGAGUUAAAGAUCUCCUGGUAGACUGUUACAAACCUACUGAGGACUUUGUGUCAGAUCUGCUGGAUAAGAUACGUGGCAUGCAGAAGCUCACCACCCCCCAGAAGAAAUAACCUCAACCCUGAGUCACCCCUCCUCUUCACCCCCUGCCUCCUCCCGCCUCCCUCCCUCACUCCAACCUCACCCCACAGAAGAAAUAGGAGCUUGGCUUCCUCAGAGAUGGAGGAGGAAGAGGGAGGAGAAAAAGAGGAGAGAAGGGGCAGAGGAGUAAGAGAGGUGAUUGAAGCAGCCAAUCACAUCUAAGCAGGGUGUAUGAUGUCCUGUGAUUUUUAUUUUAAUGUUUUAUUUAGUUUACAUUUAUUUAGAUUACAUUUUUUUAAAGGUGGUUUGUAUUGUUGUUAAAUGAUCAAGCGAUCGGUCAUAUUUCUCAUGUUAAUGAGUGAACAUAGCAUACUAUAUUGUAGCUGUAAGCCAAGCCCAGGAUAUAUUCUGAGUUUUAGUAGCCAAGCCAGGAUAUAUUCUGAGUUUUAGUAGCCAAGCCCAGGUUAUAUUCUGAGUUUUAGUAGCCAAGCCCAGGAUAUAUUCUGAGUUUUAGUAGCCAAGCCCAGGACAUAUUCUGAGUUUUAGUAGCCAAGCCCAGGAUACAUUCUGAGUUUUAGUAGCCAAGCCCAGGAUACAUUCUGAGUUUUAGUAGCCAAGCCCAGGAUAUAUUCUGAGUUUUAGUAGCCAAGCCCAGGAUAUAUUCUGAGUUUUAGUAGCCAAGCCCAGGAUGUAUUCUGAGUUUUAGUAGCCAAGCCCAGGAUAUAUUCUGAGUUUUAGUAGCCAAGCCAGGAUAUAUUCUGAGUUUUAGUAGCCAAGCCCAGGAUGUAUUCUGAGUUUUAGUAGCCAAGCCCAGGAUAUAUUCUGAGUUUUAGUAGCCAAGCCCAGGAUGUAUUCUGAGUUUUAGUAGCCAAGCCCAGGAUAUAUUCUGAGUUUUAGUAGCCAAGCCCAGGAUAUAUUCUGAGUUUUAGUAGCCAAGCCCAGGAUAUAUUCUGAGUUUUAGUAGCCAAGCCAGGAUAUAUUCUGAGUUUUAGAAUGAGUCCCAAAAUGGCACGUUAUUUAUUACCUUCUAUAGUCCAUUACAUUUGACCAGGGCUCUGGUCCAAAGUAGUGGACUAGGUUUUAAGGGUGCCGUUUGGGGAUGGGAGAGACUCCUAUGUAUAGUACAGUGUGUGUGUGUGUGUGUGUGUGUGUGUGUGUGUGUGUGUGUGUAGUCUAGACCUCAGUGAAAACACAGACCGGGGGACUUGACAAAGUGACCUUUUUUUCCUCUUUAGUUCUAUCUCUUUAUCACUGUUUAUUGUUCUGUCAGAUAUUUCAUGUUCCAUAAUGUGCAGGUGUAAGGCCUUUGUCAGUGAGGACUCUUGUAGAGAGAUUUCAGGAGACGAGUAAACCAAUGAGGGAGGGAGGGAGGGACGGAGGGAGGCACUGGGUAGUGGAAAAUGUGUCGAUGUGUUCAUCCAGAUAGCCACACACACACCCAGGGAACAGCAGAAACACAGACCACAGCUGCUGCUCCUUCAUACUCUCACACAGAUGUGAACACUGGUACACACACACAUAAACACACACUGGCUCUCUCUCGUCAACACACACACGGGAAGGAGGGGGGGUAUAAUCAUUGAGAGAGGGAUAAAUGGAGAAAAAGAGGGAGAAUCAGAGGUCUUACUCUUCCUGGCUUGGCUGCCUCACAAGGCCUUAGUGUUGCCAAUCAUGCAGCUCUCUCACUCACCCCAUGUCUCUCUUUGGCCCUCACUCCUUCCUCUGUCUCCUUCCCUUUCUACUUCCAGCAAUCUACAGAUGACUCCAUCCCUCCCUCCAUCUCUCUCUCUCCUCUCCCUCCAUCUAUCCCUCUCGCUCUCUCCUUCCCUCCCUCCAUCUAUCCCUCUCGCUCUCUCCUUCCCUCCCUCCAUCUAUCCCUCUCGCUCUCUCCUUCCCUCCCUCCAUCUAUCCCUCUCGCUCCCUCCCUCCAUCCCACCAUCCCUCCCUCCUUCCCACCAUCCCACCCUCUCCCUCCUUCCCUUCCAUCUCUCUCUCCCUCCUUCCCUUCCAUCUCUCUCUCCCUCCUUCCCUUCCAUCUCUCUCUUCCUCCUUUCCUUCAUCCAGCUCUAUCCUUCCAUCCCUCCAUCUCUUGUUUAAUAACUGACGUUGCCUUAGGUCUAUAUUGAAGUUACAAACCAAAUAAAAGGAGACGUCCAUUUUUAACAACAAUUUUUAAACAAAAAAAAAUGAUCCUGUUGUUGUUUAGGAAGAGGUCAUCUAGAGGUCAUCUAGAGGUCAUCUAGAGGUCAUCUAGAGGUCAUCUAGACCUCUUUACGUUCUUUUAGAUGUGAAUAUCUAUUCUAGGUCAAUUAUUACUGUGUGUACUAUUAUAAUACCUGGUGCGCAUCCCAAAUGGAACCCUGUUCCCUAUAUAUAGGGAAUAGGGUGCCAGCCCUGGUCUAAAGUAGUGCCCUAUAUAGGGAAUAGGGUGCCAGCCCUGGUCUAUAGUAGUGCCCUAUAUAGGGAAUAGGGUGCCAGCCCUGGUCUAUAGUAGUGCCCUAUAUAGGGAAUAGGGUGCCAGCCCUGGUCUAUAGUAGUGCCCUAUAUAGGGAAUAGGGUGCCAUUUGAGAAGCGGCCCCUGAUAACCUGUUGUUGCGUGUCAGACCUUUUUCUUUUGUUACUGUACGACAACUUUGACUGUUGAAAUGCUGUUUUAGAAGUGAUGUGUUUUUAAUAAGAAACUGAAGAACGAAAAUGUAGCGACAGGGUUUUUGUUUUACCACAAUGCUGUUACACUUUUAUGCAACUUUAAUAAACAAAAUAUGUUAAAAGGGGGUGUGUUCAUGUGGUGGGUGUGACAACACUGACACUGGGAAUGGUUUUAACACCACCUGCAGGAUGUUUGUCACUAUGUAACUACUGUAGCUAAUGCAUCAAUACUGUCUUCACAAUCCCAGGGUGUUAGGGAUUGUGUUUCUGUGUCCCAAAUAGCUUAUUCCCCCCCCAAGGACAAAUUCCACUGCAAAUGCCAAUAGAAUAGAAUGGGGCUAUAGUGGCAUCUUCAGCUCUCUGGAUCUUUUCUAAUGUACUGUAUACUGAACCAAACUAUAAACUCAACAUGUAAAGUGAUGGUUUCAUCAACUGAAAUAUAAAAUCCCCAAAAUGUUCCAUACAUACAAAAUGCUUAUUUUUCUAAUUUGGUGCACAAAUUUGUUUACAUCCCCUGUUGGUGAGUAAUUUCUCCUUUGUUAAGAUAAUCCAUCCACCUCACAGCUUUGGUAUAUGAAGAAGCUGAUUAAACAGCUUAUUGCUGGCGUCAAUAAAAGGCCACUCUAAAAUGUGCAUUUUUGUCACAACACAAUACCACAGAUGUCUCAAGUUUUGAGGGUGCGUGUAAUUGAAUGUUCAUUUCUCUACCAUAAGCCACCUCCAAUAUCGUCUUAGAGAAUUUGUCAGUACGUCCAAUCGGCUUCACAAACGCAGACCACGUGUAACCACGCCAGCCAACGACCUCCACGCCAGCCAAGGACCCGUCCACGCCUGGCUUCUUCACCUGCGGGAUCGUCUGAG
This 4431-nucleotide long non-coding RNA is filed under the name Salmo salar (Atlantic salmon). RNAcentral describes it as "lncRNA (ENSSSAG00000086814.1)". Lineage: Eukaryota; Metazoa; Chordata; Actinopteri; Salmoniformes; Salmonidae. The record is from RNAcentral.